AGUUGAGUAGCUCAGUGGGAGAGCACUUCGUUAACACCGAAGAUGUCGUGAGUUCGACCCUCACCUCAACUACCA
RNAcentral lists this transfer RNA (75 nucleotides) under compost metagenome. Its description in RNAcentral is "tRNA-Val". It matches the Rfam family "tRNA". Rfam says of the family: Transfer RNA (tRNA) molecules are approximately 80 nucleotides in length. The record is from RNAcentral.